GUGAGGAAUAUUGGGCAAUGCCCGAAAGGGUGACCCAGCAACGCCGCGUGGAGGAUGAAGGUCGUAAGAUUGUAAACUCCUGUUAGAGGGGAAGAAUAACUAAGUUUGGAGCUUAGUAUGACUGUACCCUCAGAGAAAGCCCCGGCUAACUACGUGCCAGCAGCCGCGGUAAUACGUAGGGGGCAAGCGUUGUCCGGAUUUACUGGGUGUAAAGGGCGCGCAGGCGGAAUGGAAAGUCAGUGGUGAAAUCCUACAGCUUAACUGUAGAACUGCCUUUGNUACUUUCAUUCUUGAGUUCGGGAGAGAGAGACGGAAUUCCAGGUGUAGUGGUGAAAUACGUAGAUAUCUGGAAGAACACCAGUUGCGAAGGCGGUCUCUUGGUCCGAUGCUGACGCUGAGGCGCGAAAGCGUGGGGAGCAAACA
Molecule: ribosomal RNA, 423 nt
Filed under: uncultured bacterium
Lineage: Bacteria
Description: bacterial SSU rRNA
Rfam family: Bacterial small subunit ribosomal RNA
Source: RNAcentral